RNA transcript from Papaver somniferum (opium poppy), 1577 nucleotides. RefSeq lists it as uncharacterized. The record is from RefSeq and is a predicted model, not a curated record. NCBI's taxonomy places the organism in Eukaryota, Viridiplantae, Streptophyta, Magnoliopsida, Ranunculales, Papaveraceae. The transcript is spliced from 6 exons.
CUUUCCUUCUCUUCCCUCUCCCUCUCUCGUUUCUCUUUCCCCACGAUCUCCAAACCUCGCCUCUCUCGAGUAAACGAAAACCCUAACUCAGUCACAACUAUAACCACCUUUACUUCCAGAACGAACACAGAAGAAUCCCCGAUCUUCUUCUUCUCAUAUAUGGAUGUUUUUGGUAACAAAAUCGACUUCAUAUGAAAUCGCUCAUCUCUUGUGUAAAAAAAUCACUCUUCUCUUUGUCUAAGCUAUCGACUUCAUCUGAAAUCGAUCAAGGGUUUGCUCAAGUCACUGUGUUUUCAUUACUCUUUCUCUAGCAGAUGAAGAUUGAUGAACAAGAUGAAGGAUGCUGGAACUUCUAAAAGAGAACAUGCAGUCAUGGAGAAUAUUAAAGAAGCACACAGGAGAGUGAUGGUGGCUAACCAUCCUCACAAGGGUGGGAGCAUGUAUCUUGCUAAAAAGAUCAACGAGGCUGAGGUACUUUUGAUGGAUGAGUGUCGAUUUCAAUUCUUUCCAUGUGAAGAUAGGGUGUGCUGUUAGGAUUGACAGAUGUUGAUGAUCCUAUUCCCAGAUCUAGUAAUGGCUUGUCUGAAGAAAUUUCUUUUAAGAUUCUGAAACAGGCAGGUUGUCGAGGUGGAGCAAGCAGCCAUGUGGAAGUUUCUUUGGUGGUCGGGAAUCAUACCUGUCCAUGUUAUGGUUGGCCAAAACAUAGAUGAUCACUCGAAACUUUUCUCCAGCACUUCCUCCUCAAGCCUUUGUCUUUUAUUUCCUUCUUGGUUUGCGGGAUGAGUUCAGCUUGUUGAUGUAAUUUUUGCUGAGUGUUUGCAUUUGUCUCUUUGUAAAGGAAGGACUCAUACUGGUUGUUGCAACAAUCUGACAAGAUAUAUGCUGGAGCAUUUUGACAGUGAUUCAGUGAUUCGAAUCACAGUUUGAUUCUUCACAAGACUAAACUUUGUGCUCCUGCACUUGCUUCAUUCAAGGCUUAUUACGAAGGUGAUGGUUUUCCCGAUGUGUUUGAUUUGUCAUUGUUGUCUCAUGUCAGGGUUCGCAAUCUUAUUAGUACCUUAAAGUUUGUAUAGCGUCAGUAGUCUGUUUGGUCUGAACUAACCCAAGAACAUCACCCUAAUAGUAUUGCUCAGCAAAGAACUCUUCUCCCGCUAACCAGAAUCCAUCUCAUUUAUUUUGAUGCUUCUUAUAUAGAAUCUAAUCGUACUAUUAGAAUUGGUAUCAUUCUUCUUGAUAAUGCAGGAAACUUUUGGGGUGCCAAAACAAUCCCAAUCACAACAUGAGAUGCUUAACAUGCUGAAACCAAGGCUCUUCUUGUAGCCACACUACGGGUUAACGAGCUGGAACUGCAGUUUACUUCAAAGGGGACUGAAUCAUUCUGAAGAUGUAUGCUAUGUUCUCUAGUGUUCAAAUCACCAUAGUUAACUAUUGUUGUUAUAGUGGUCUCUGUCAAGUUUUCUAGAUUUUUGGUGUAGUUAGUGUCAGUAUUAUUCGAAAAAAAUAUUGUCUUUAGGUUUCUGUUAGUAUUAUUUUGUAACAUUUGAUAAGGUCUUAUUUGGAAUAAAAUUUCUGUUAAU